This 447-nucleotide ribosomal RNA is filed under the name uncultured bacterium. RNAcentral's name for it is "partial 16S ribosomal RNA". It matches the Rfam family "Bacterial small subunit ribosomal RNA", at positions 29 to 523 of the family's 1533-position model. The record is from RNAcentral.
AGCGAACGCUGGCGGCAGGCUUAACACAUGCAAGUCGAACGCCCCGCAAGGGGAGUGGCAGACGGGUGAGUAACACGUGGGAACGUACCCUUUGGUUCGGAAUAACUUGGGGAAACUCAAGCUAAUACCGGAUAAGCCCUUAUGGGGAAAGGUUUACUGCCGAAGGAUCGGCCCGCGUCUGAUUAGCUAGUUGGUGAGGUAAUGGCUCACCAAGGCGACGAUCAGUAGCUGGUCUGAGAGGAUGAUCAGCCACACUGGGACUGAGACACGGCCCAGACUCCUACGGGAGGCAGCAGUGGGGAAUAUUGGACAAUGGGGGCAACCCUGAUCCAGCCAUGCCGCGUGAGUGAUGAAGGCCUUAGGGUUGUAAAGCUCUUUUACCCGGGACGAUAAUGACUGUACCGGGAGAAUAAGCCCCGGCUAACUUCGUGCCAGCAGCCGCUAAAA